Molecule: long non-coding RNA, 231 nt
Filed under: Panax ginseng (ginseng)
Lineage: Eukaryota; Viridiplantae; Streptophyta; Magnoliopsida; Apiales; Araliaceae
Description: long non-coding RNA (PGIN_LNC016061)
Source: RNAcentral
GGUGAUUCCGGGGACGGAAUCCUUAUAAGGGAGGGUGAAUGUAAUAACCCGAGAUUUUCUAUAUAAAAUAAUUAAGAAAUUUUGCGUAUAAAUUUUUUAUUUAUUUAUUUAAUGACGAGAAUAAGUGUCUAGUAAUGUGAAUGAUAAAUGCGAAUAUAUUUAUUACUUGGAAAAUUAGAAAUAAUUUUGGAAUUAUUAAUUACGACAAAUUAUAUUUUUAUGGUAAUUAAU